RNAcentral lists this ribosomal RNA (252 nucleotides) under uncultured bacterium. RNAcentral's name for it is "partial 16S ribosomal RNA". It matches the Rfam family "Bacterial small subunit ribosomal RNA", at positions 524 to 775 of the family's 1533-position model. The record is from RNAcentral.
UACGUAGGGUGCGAGCGUUGUCCGGAAUUAUUGGGCGUAAAGAGCUCGUAGGCGGUGUGUCGCGUCGGCCGUGAAAACCUGGGGCUCAACUCUGGGCGUGCGGUCGAUACGGGCAUCACUUGAGUUCGGCAGGGGAGACUGGAAUUCCUGGUGUAGCGGUGAAAUGCGCAGAUAUCAGGAGGAACACCGGUGGCGAAGGCGGGUCUCUGGGCCGUAACUGACGCUGAGGAGCGAAGCAUGGGGAGCGAACGG